RNAcentral lists this ribosomal RNA (301 nucleotides) under uncultured bacterium. Its description in RNAcentral is "partial 16S ribosomal RNA". It matches the Rfam family "Bacterial small subunit ribosomal RNA", at positions 509 to 807 of the family's 1533-position model. The record is from RNAcentral.
CAGCAGCCACGGUAAUCCGAAGGGUGCAAGCGUUAAUCGGAAUUACUGGGCGUAAAGCGUGCGUAGGCGGUGAGUUAAGUCUGCUGUGAAAUCCCCGGGCUCAACCUGGGAAUGGCAGUGGAUACUGGCAAGCUAGAGUGUGUCAGAGGAUGGUGGAAUUCCCGGUGUAGCGGUGAAAUGCGUAGAGAUCGGGAGGAACAUCAGUGGCGAAGGCGGCCAUCUGGGACAACACUGACGCUGAGGCACGAAAGCGUGGGGAGCAAACAGGAUUAGAUACCCCCGUAGUCCCUGUCUCUUAUAC